RNAcentral lists this ribosomal RNA (391 nucleotides) under uncultured microorganism. RNAcentral describes it as "bacterial SSU rRNA". It matches the Rfam family "Archaeal small subunit ribosomal RNA", at positions 330 to 724 of the family's 1478-position model. The record is from RNAcentral.
GCGCAGCAGGCGCGAAACUUCACAAUGUGCGAAAGCACGAUGAGGGAAUCCCAAGUGCUUGCACGUAAGUGUAAGCUGUUUCUCUGUCUAAAACGCAGAGAGAGUAAGGGCUGGGUAAGACGGGUGCCAGCCGCCGCGGUAAUACCUGCAGCUCGAGUGGUGACCGUUAUUAUUGGGCCUAAAACGUCCGUAGCCGGUUUAAUAAAUGCCUGGGUAAAUCGGACCGCUUAACGGUUCGAAUUCCGGGUAGACUGUUAAACUUGAGACCGGGAGAAGUUAGAGGUACUCCUGGGGUAGAGGUGAAAUUCUGUAAUCCUAGGGGACCACCAGUGGCGAAGGCGUCUAACUAGAACGGGUCUGACGGUGAGGGACGAAGCCCUGGGGCGCAAAC